Molecule: ribosomal RNA, 459 nt
Filed under: uncultured bacterium
Lineage: Bacteria
Description: partial 16S ribosomal RNA
Rfam family: Bacterial small subunit ribosomal RNA
Source: RNAcentral
CCUACGGGAGGCAGCAGUGAGGAAUAUUGGUCAAUGGUCGGGAGACUGAACCAGCCAAGCCGCGUGCGGGAUGAAGGUACAGAGUAUCGUAAACCUCUUUUGUCCGGGAACAACGCCGUCGACGCGUCCCCGGCUGCGUGUACCUGACGAAAAAGCACCGGCUAAUUCCGUGCCAGCAGCCGCGGUAAUACGGAGGAUGCGAGCGUUAUCCGGAUUUAUUGGGUUUAAAGGGUGCGCAGGCGGUCUGUUAAGUCAGCGGUAAAACCCCGGGGCUCAACCCCGGCCCGCCGUUGAAACUGGCAGUCUCGAGUUGGAGAGAGGUAUGCGGAAUGCGCGGUGUAGCGGUGAAAUGCAUAGAUAUCGCGCAGAACGCCGAUUGCGAAGGCAGCAUGCCGGCGCCACACUGACGCUGAGGCACGAAGGCGUGGGUAUCGAACAGGAUUAGAUACCCCUGUAGUC